GGGCGUGUAGCUCAUUUGGUAGAGCGCUCGCUUAGCAUCUCCUAGGGAUUAUCUCUUGGAUCCUCUAAUGCGAGAGGUACUGGGUUCGAUUCCCAGCUCGUCCA
Molecule: transfer RNA, 104 nt
Filed under: Thermochaetoides thermophila DSM 1495
Lineage: Eukaryota; Fungi; Ascomycota; Sordariomycetes; Sordariales; Chaetomiaceae
Description: Chaetomium thermophilum var. thermophilum DSM 1495 tRNA
Rfam family: tRNA
About the family: Transfer RNA (tRNA) molecules are approximately 80 nucleotides in length. Their secondary structure includes four short double-helical elements and three loops (D, anti-codon, and T loops).
Source: Rfam by way of RNAcentral